GGCACCGUCCUGUCCCAUUGUCUGUUCAGCCUGCAGGAAAAGCAGGGGAAGAGAACCUUACCUCGAAAGGGACUUCUGCUCCUGCCCUUUUUUGCACUCCCGAGGGCCUCCUGUUUCCAGUUCCCCUUGGGCUCAAGGAAAGGGCGAGGAGAGUCCUGCCUCUUCUCCCCUCCUGAGCCAACCUCACCAAGGUUGCAGUGCUGGGCUUUGAGCAGCUGAGGGCAUUGAUUUAAGGGAUGCAAAUGAGGGGGCUGUCUGUUGGAGGAAGCCGUCUUCUGGUGGGCAGAUAGGUCUGGGAGAAUUCUCCAUGAGCCUUGCUGGGGCUGGCUGGGCGGGAACAGGGAGGAGACCGGCCCAGCCUGGGAAGGACAAGGAGGCAAACCGCAGGAAAGCUCGGAGCGCGCAGGGCCAGGCGUCACCCUCUGCCCGGGGCCACGGAGGCAGGGGCAGGAAGAGUCUGCGAAUCCUCCUGCCGCCCGCCCCCUGCCCACAGGCCCAGCAAGGUGUGGUGAUUGGUGGAUGAAGAAAGGGAACUUGACCUACAGGCUGCAGGCUGAGUCUGUGCUGCCUUUGCUUGGGAGCUGGAGGAAGAGGGGAGAGGCAGAUGGGGAGACCGAGGGUAAGGAGCCCCAGCCACGCAACGGGGGGGCGGGGAGGCUCUGCCUGGCACUGGCUGGGCAGGCAAUGGGACACGUUGAGACUGAAGCUCGUGCCAGCCGCCUCCAGCCGAAGGAGGCAAGCCUGGGCAGGGCAGGCCCCAGACAGCCGGUCCCUGGAGCCACAGAGACACGAGCCAGUCAGGUCUGCGUGCUGGGAGGCCAGAGAGGCCAAGAGCAUUUAUCGGUCCUUCGGAGGGUGUCUGCCGCCUGCCUCUGAACUUGGCCUCCACCCCAGCAAUGGAGGAAAAGAGCUGUGGCACUUAAGCAUCAAGCCUCAAGCCUCAAGCCUCCAGAGGGACUCAAACAUGCCCCAGGGCCCCAGAGAAUGGCAGCGUUGGACUUCUCAGAACCUUCACUAUAUUGUGACUCUCCAGACGAAUGUGUACAGCAUGCAUUUUCCAGCCUCCUUUGAGGGACACCUGCCACUUCAGACAGGGCUGCAUGACACUACAGCAUCCCUCUAGGAUGGCAAAGCCAGGGCCGAAUGGAGAAGAAGAAGAGCGCUCUGAUCUCAAGUUCAGUGGGAGAGUCUCCUUCCUCCCCCUGCUUUUUCUCUCCCACAUGAUAGGCUGGCUGGGCAUCCGGGUUGGCAUCACCCUGGGGUUUCCUGACACAGAGGGUUCAGCUGUCCUGAGAGUGGACAACCUGUCCCUGACCACCCAGCGUUCUUCCCUUUAGGGACCACUGCUGCCCCCUGCACGUGGCUCUAGUAGCCUUCUCCCACAGCCUCACCUUCCCAUGGCACUAGAGAGAGAAACAAGGAGAUGUUUCGGAUAAAGAAAACAGAGCAUGUCAGAGGGUAGAAAGCAAAAUACAGAGGGUCAGUUAAGAUCCUCUGAGGGAGGGCACCUGGGUGGCUCAGUUGGUUGAGUGGCUGCCUUUGGCUCAGGUCAUGAUCUCAGAGUCCCAGGAUCGAGUCCCACGUCAGGCUCCCAGCUCCAUGGGGAGUCUGCUUCUCCCUCUGACCCUCUCCCCUCUCAUGCUCUCUCUCAUUCUCUCUCUCAAAAAAAUAAAGAAAAUCUUAAAAAAAAAAAAAAAAGAUCCUCUGGGGGAAGGGCGGGGCGCCUGGGGUAUUCAGUCAGUUAAGUUAAGCAUCUGCCUUUGGCUCAAGCCAUGAUCCCAGAAUUCUGGGAUGGAGCCCCACUUCAGGCUCCCUACUCAGCGCGGAGUCUGCUUCUCCCUCUCCUUCUGCUGCUUCCCCCUGCUCACGCACUCUCUCUCUCUCUCUCACACAUUCUCUUUCAAAUAAAUAAAUAAAAUCUUAAAAAAAAAAAAAAGUCCU
This is a long non-coding RNA of Mustela putorius furo (domestic ferret), 1941 nucleotides long. NCBI's taxonomy places the organism in Eukaryota, Metazoa, Chordata, Mammalia, Carnivora, Mustelidae. The record is from Ensembl.